RNAcentral lists this ribosomal RNA (606 nucleotides) under Acinetobacter sp. AVP1-S2. RNAcentral describes it as "bacterial SSU rRNA". It matches the Rfam family "Bacterial small subunit ribosomal RNA", at positions 60 to 652 of the family's 1533-position model. The record is from RNAcentral. Lineage: Bacteria; Pseudomonadati; Pseudomonadota; Gammaproteobacteria; Moraxellales; Moraxellaceae.
AGUCGUCACGGGGGAGAAUGKAGCUUGCUCCCUUAUCACUAGACGGCGGACGGGUGAGUAAUGCUUAKGAAUCUGCCUAUUAGUGGGGGACAACAUAUCCGAAAGGAAUGCUAAUACCUGCAUACGCCCUACGGGGGAAAGCAGGGGAUCUUCGGACCUUGCGCUAAUAGAUGAGCCUAAGUCAGAUUAGCUAGUUGGUGGGGUAAAGGCCUACCAAGGCGACGAUCUGUAGCGGGUCUGAGAGGAUGAUCCGCCACACUGGGACUGAGACACGGNCCAGACUCCUACGGGAGGCAGCAGUGGGGAAUAUUGGACAAUGGGCGAAAGCCUGAUCCAGCCAUGCCGCGUGUGUGAAGAAGGCCUUUUGGUUGUAAAGCACUUUAAGCGAGGAGGAGGCUACUUGGAUUAAUACUCUAGGAUAGUGGACGUUACUCGCAGAAUAAGAACCGGCUAACUCUGUGCCAGCAGCCGCGGUAAUACAAAGGGUGCGAGCGUUAAUCGGAUUUACUGGGCGUAAAGCGUGCGUAGGCGGCUUUUUAAGUCGGAUGUGAAAUCCCUGAGCUUAACUUAGGAAUUGCAUUCCAUACUGGGAAGCUAGAGUAUGGG